GAAUAUUGGACAAUGGGCGAAAGCCUGAUCCAGCCAUGCCGCGUGUGUGAAGAAGGUCUUCGGAUUGUAAAGCACUUUAAGUUGGGAGGAAGGGCAGUUACCUAAUACGUGAUUGUUUUGACGUUACCGACAGAAUAAGCACCGGCUAACUCUGUGCCAGCAGCCGCGGUAAUACAGAGGGUGCAAGCGUUAAUCGGAAUUACUGGGCGUAAAGCGCGCGUAGGUGGUUUGUUAAGUUGGAUGUGAAAUCCCCGGGCUCAACCUGGGAACUGCAUUCAAAACUGACUGACUAGAGUAUGGUAGAGGGUGGUGGAAUUUCCUGUGUAGCGGUGAAAUGCGUAGAUAUAGGAAGGAACACCAGUGGCGAAGGCGACCACCUGGACUAAUACUGACACUGAGGUGCGAAAGCGUGGGGAGCAAACAG
Molecule: ribosomal RNA, 424 nt
Filed under: uncultured bacterium
Lineage: Bacteria
Description: bacterial SSU rRNA
Rfam family: Bacterial small subunit ribosomal RNA
Source: RNAcentral